RNAcentral lists this ribosomal RNA (1100 nucleotides) under Enterobacteriaceae bacterium M401. RNAcentral describes it as "bacterial SSU rRNA". It matches the Rfam family "Bacterial small subunit ribosomal RNA", at positions 28 to 1117 of the family's 1533-position model. RNAcentral also lists the same sequence under 2 other names. Lineage: Bacteria; Pseudomonadati; Pseudomonadota; Gammaproteobacteria; Enterobacterales; Enterobacteriaceae. The record is from RNAcentral.
AUUGAACGCUGGCGGCAGGCCUAACACAUGCAAGUCGAGCGGCAGCGGAAAGUAGCUUGCUACUUUGCCGGCGAGCGGCGGACGGGUGAGUAAUGUCUGGGAAACUGCCUGAUGGAGGGGGAUAACUACUGGAAACGGUAGCUAAUACCGCAUAACGUCGCAAGACCAAAGAGGGGGACCUUCGGGCCUCUUGCCAUCAGAUGUGCCCAGAUGGGAUUAGCUAGUAGGUGGGGUAACGGCUCACCUAGGCGACGAUCCCUAGCUGGUCUGAGAGGAUGACCAGCCACACUGGAACUGAGACACGGUCCAGACUCCUACGGGAGGCAGCAGUGGGGAAUAUUGCACAAUGGGCGCAAGCCUGAUGCAGCCAUGCCGCGUGUAUGAAGAAGGCCUUCGGGUUGUAAAGUACUUUCAGCGGGGAGGAAGGCGAUAAGGUUAAUAACCUUGUCGAUUGACGUUACCCGCAGAAGAAGCACCGGCUAACUCCGUGCCAGCAGCCGCGGUAAUACGGAGGGUGCAAGCGUUAAUCGGAAUUACUGGGCGUAAAGCGCACGCAGGCGGUCUGUCAAGUCGGAUGUGAAAUCCCCGGGCUCAACCUGGGAACUGCAUUCGAAACUGGCAGGCUAGAGUCUUGUAGAGGGGGGUAGAAUUCCAGGUGUAGCGGUGAAAUGCGUAGAGAUCUGGAGGAAUACCGGUGGCGAAGGCGGCCCCCUGGACAAAGACUGACGCUCAGGUGCGAAAGCGUGGGGAGCAAACAGGAUUAGAUACCCUGGUAGUCCACGCCGUAAACGAUGUCGACUUGGAGGUUGUGCCCUUGAGGCGUGGCUUCCGGAGCUAACGCGUUAAGUCGACCGCCUGGGGAGUACGGCCGCAAGGUUAAAACUCAAAUGAAUUGACGGGGGCCCGCACAAGCGGUGGAGCAUGUGGUUUAAUUCGAUGCAACGCGAAGAACCUUACCUACUCUUGACAUCCAGAGAACUUUCCAGAGAUGGAUUGGUGCCUUCGGGAACUCUGAGACAGGUGCUGCAUGGCUGUCGUCAGCUCGUGUUGUGAAAUGUUGGGUUAAGUCCCGCAACGAGCGCAACCCUUAUCCUUUGUUG